AUUAGAAUUGAUGUGAGUUCUUUUUUUAUGUGUUUUCAAAGAUAGAACUUUAUCUGGACCGUUGGGAUACGUCUCAUCGGCCAGUCUCCAACUUUAAAACCAUUGCUGUUUGAGGUUACUUCUGAGGUCUGACCUUGGUUAAGCGAUCCAUGAAAUGGUGAUGACCUGAGGCUUGGAACAUUU
This 183-nucleotide small nucleolar RNA is filed under the name Nakaseomyces glabratus. RNAcentral describes it as "Candida glabrata Small nucleolar RNA snR42". It matches the Rfam family "Small nucleolar RNA snR42". Lineage: Eukaryota; Fungi; Ascomycota; Saccharomycetes; Saccharomycetales; Saccharomycetaceae. The record is from Rfam by way of RNAcentral.